CCUGCCUCUCCCACGCUCGCAUUAACAAGAUCAUUCCAAUUUGUAGCAUCGGUGAUGAGAAAAAAGUUAAAAACCGGAGGACAAUCCCCCAACUGUAACUGCGGCUUGCGAAGAUCACCGACUUCCAACCGAAUAUAACUAUUAUUUUCUGUCGUUUCGAAACUUCUCUUCUCCACCUAAAAUUUCCUAAAUAAUGUACUCCUCAUUUAAAGCUUUCAACAAACACUUGAAGAACACCUACCUCUCUGUCUAUUACAAUCACACAUCUACCGGUCACCGAUGCCUUCAUUACUAUCCCUAUCUUUGUUUCACCCUUUUUAAACCUCCGUCCUUGUCUUCUUCAUCUCUGUCGACUCUUGCCUUUCGCUUCUUUGCUUAUCGUUUUUACACUUGUAAGACACGUCCCUUGUGCGCCCAUUGAAUUUGGAAUUCUCUGCUUAUGUUUUCCUUGUUUUGGGUUUUUGUGGCUCUUCUGUUUGAAGAAAUGACUGGCUUAUGAUCGCGGUUUAGUUUUUUAGUAUAUAUAUCUUAGAUUAUCUCGGAUGAAUCUACGAAGCAUUCGAUUUUUUUCUUCUUCUUCUAUGAAUUUUUAGAAAGUAAUCCUAUCCCAUUGUACAGUGCAAAUGAGGAAGCGAAUUUUAAUAGUUAUGAUUAAAAUUUAAUUUGAUUCCCCUCUGACCUUAUAUUAGAUUUGCAGCGCCUCGUUCUGGUACAUUUAUGGAGGUAGUCAAAGCGGUGUAUAGACAGGGGAAUGCAGCUGCAGAUAGCAUUGCUAUCAGGGCUGACCAGAAGAAUUACACUUACGCACAACUCAUCUCAUCUGCUUGGAACAUUUCUAAUAUAUUGUGUAACGCUGGAUUAAAGACUGUGAGUUGAAAUUAACUCAUUGAUUUGUUUUUGUGAAUCUGUAGAGGAAACUGUAUGAUCUGUUAUUAGCAUUGUUACCUUCAGUUGAAUUUGAAGCUUUGUGGGAAGAAUUUUACACGAUUUAAUUAUUUGUUAAUGAUUCAAGUCUAUUAUUCUUAAAUGGAUUUCUUCGCUUGGGGGUUUAGUUAACUCUUUGUCUUUGUGAAGCUAGCAAGACUAAAAUUCUUCUUUGUAGGUUGAUGGUAUCAGAGGAAAUGGACAUCUUGGUGGAGCUCGAAUAGGAAUUGUGGCUAAACCUUCAGUUGAGUUUGUUGCUGGAGUGCUAGCAACUUGGUUUAGUGGAGGUGUUGCAGUUCCACUCGCACUCAGCUACCCUGAGACUGAGCUUUUGCAUGUGAUGAAUGACUCAGUAUGUAUGAAAUGCUUUUUGUUCCAGCAAACACACCCCCUGCUUCCCUUCUCCUCUCUCUUUUUAUUGUGGAAUUGCUACACCUACUCUUAGGUUAUUGUACAUAAAACCACUUCGGUGCACUGUUAAGCAACCCUUUUGAGGCUCAUAAAUAUGUGUGUAUACGUGUACUGGAGGGAAAGGCCUGUGUGUGUCGGGAGCAAUUUUGCUUCAUUCUAUCCCACAAAAUCUUAAUUAAGUUAUUUUCCUUUACUGUGAACCAAUCUCUGAUUUUCGUUUGAUUGAUAGGAAAUAUCUAUGGUACUGAGCACCGAAGAUCAUAGUGAGUUGAUGCGAAAUAUUGCUGCUAAAUGCGCUGCCCAAUUUUCCCUCAUUCCUUCUGUUCCCAGUAUUUCUUCGCAAAAAAGUGAACAUUAUCCUUCACAAAUUGGAGCUAUGGAUGCAGAUAGAGAUGAAGAUCCAGCACUAAUUGUUUAUACAAGUGGCACAACAGGUAAACCUAAAGGUGUUGUCCAUACUCACGAAAGUAUUACUGCACAGGUAACUGCCUGACCACCACAUACUCCCUUAGUUUGAGCAUCUCUUUCUGUUUUAGUACCCCUUAUGAUAUGGCUGUCUGUGCAACUUAUGAGUUAAUGGUGCGAGCAUUGAACGGUAAAAUAAUGCAUGGUAUCGUAUACAAAUCUUAUGGUGCAUACACUGCCAGAUACUCUUUUUCUUAUUACUAUUGGAAUAUGCUACAUAGCUCAAUAAAUUUGUGCCACCUUUAUUAUCCCACUUGACAUGGCAUCAUUCUAUUGGCAGUAAUCCGCAUCCACCCAUGAAUUUUGAGCAUGCAAUGCGAAAAACAUAGCAAUAGACAUAUGUCAUGUCAGGUGGGAUAAUUAGGGCAGCAGACAUGCAGCACUUUUCUUACUAUUUUAAUUACUUUAGCGGCAUGCAAUUAUACUGUCAACAUAGUAUGUGUGAAUGAUAACAUGCCCUUCUUGAGUUCAUUUUCUAUUUUAAUAUUGAUUUUAGCAAUAACUAUGCUGAAGUUUGGCUAAAUUUCAGGUUAAAAUUUUGGCAGAAGCUUGGGAGUAUACAUCUGCUGAUCAGUUUCUCCAUUGUCUACCACUGCAUCAUAUCCUGAAAUCAUACCUAUUUAUACUGCAAUGAUAAUUCUUUUCAUACUGAUGAUGCCAUUGCUUCUUUAGUGCAUUAUGCAGAAGAUUUUGUGUCAAAUGGAUCCUUAACUUAUAACAUACAUGUUCAUGGACUUUUCAAUGCUCUAUUUGCCCCUAUCUAUGCCGGUUCCACUGUAAUUUUAAUGUUUUUACUAGUUCCAAUAUAGACACAUGCGCGCAUGUUCCUAUUGGAAAAUUUAGUUUUUUUGGUAGGUGAGAUUGAUUUUGUUUUGAAUAAUCUUUUUAAAUUAUUGAAGGUUGAAUUUAUGUCAAAAUUUAGUGUGAGGGGAAUCUGGCAAAGAUGGCGAGAAUCAUAUCAAAUAAAAGGGAAAAAAGCUGAUGAUGCUAUAACAGUGUUUACAGGAGUAAGUAUAUUCUUUAUAUUAGGUAUUCUUAUGCAGAUAUUCAAUUUCUUACUCUUUUUCAUGAUAUCUCUGAACUUGCAAAUUUAUUUUCUCUUAGCACAUCAGCUAUUGUGAUUUGUGCUCUCUUCUUUAAAUGAAUGUUUGGCUCUUGUCUCACUGUAUGGAAUCAAAACAAGGUGCAGUAUCUAGGUAUUGCUUGUCAGUUGUAUUAAUAUUAAGUGUGAAAAGAAAAACCUUAGUACAAUCUUCUACUGCACACCCUACUUUCUUCUUGUGGUGUUUGUACUUAAAUCCUAAAUUUAUGGAUGUUAUGCAUAUACUGGUAAAAUUGUCAUCAUGAAGUUUCAUAGAACCAUAUGUUUUUGUGACAUACAGGUUCCAACCAUGUACACUCGAUUGAUACAAGGUUAUGAAGCAAUGGACCCAGAGCUUCAGGCAGCUUCUGCCUCUGCGGCAAGACAAUUGCGGCUAAUGAUGUGUGGCUCCUCAGCACUCCCUCUUCCUGUCAUGGAACAAUGGGAAACCAUCACAGGGCAUCGCCUUCUAGAAAGAUAUGGCAUGACCGAGUUUGUCAUGGCAAUAUCAAAUCCCUUAAAAGGUGAGCGAAAGGCAGGCACUGUAGGCAAACCAUUUCCUGGAGUGCAGGUCAAGAUUGUAGAAGAUGAAAGUGAAAAUGAUACAACAGGGGUGGGUGAGCUUUGCGUUAAAAGCCCUUCAUUGUUCAAAGAGUAUUGGAAACUUCCCAAGGUAACCAGUGAAUCAUUUACUGAUGAUGGCUUUUUCAAGACAGGAGAUGCUGGCAAAAUAGAUGAAGAUGGUUACUACAUAAUUUUGGGACGUAAGCAAAUCUAUAUUCAUUUUUUGUGCUCUUAUUGAUCUGUUGUAUUUUUUCUUUCUUGCUAUGUAUGCCUUUUGCAUAGGACAAGACCCUUUCCCCCAUUUUUAUUGCAGUCAUAUUUAUAGUUUAUGGAAGGAAUUCUUUUAUUGCCCUUGCAAACUUCAAUAUCUAGUAGUCUAAUAAUUUGGCCCUGCAUAUGUCAUAACUUCACAACAAUGUUCAAUGUAGUGCUCAUGCCUAUCUGAUUCAUAAUGGACAAUGCCCUGUACAAUUUUCUUCAGUUCAGAUACACUGUUAUCUGUAAAAAACAAAUUGAUCAAGUGUCAUCAAAAGACAUUGAAUAAGAACACUCAAUUCCCUACACCUCUCACCAUCAACACCCCCCCCCCCCACCAACCGCAAUCCAAAAAUAAAAAAAUAAAAUAAAAUCCUCUUGCUGAUGUGGCCACCCUUCAUUUCACUGCUGAUAUGCCUUCUAUUGAUUUUGUUGAUAACCAUAGAACAACAAAGUUGUACCAGUAUGGAAGUACUAUGGCUGGAAAAUAUAGUAGGUCCAACUUCUGGUGUGAUAGUCCUUCCUGUUGAAACCCAUAACACCUUGAUUUUACAUUUCAGGAACAAGUGCUGAUAUCAUGAAAGUUGGGGGAUACAAAUUAUCAGCAUUAGAAAUUGAAUCAGUCCUUUUGGAGUAUCCAGCUGUUGCUGAAUGCUGUGUUUUGGGUUUGCCGGACAAAGAUUAUGGAGAUGCUGUGUGUGCAAUUGUUGUGCUAGAGGAAGCAGAAAAAAGAAAAAGAGAGGAAGAGUUAAAGCCUGCUCUAAUCUUGGAAGAACUCUGUGAGUGGGCUAAAGGAAAGCUUGCACCAUACAAGGUAUUGCAGCAUGGACAACUCCCUAUUUUCUCCAUGUACAUAUCUAUUUUGUUAAGAGUUCCUCUUCCAGUUGAUUAUGGCAGUUUUAUGCAUAUUGUUAAUUUUAUUCAUGAAUGAUGAAAAUUGAAAUACUGUCUGUAUCAGGUGUAGUUUCCUAGUUAAAAGGUUUUUGCUGGUAUAAUUUUUUAAUUGGGCAAGGGCUGUUUGGUAAUUGGGGGAGAGGAGGGGGGCACAUUUUUGUGGUGCAACUAAGAUCUCUUCAAAGCUUAAGGAUUGCUAUGUGUCCCUUCAAGUGAUUUUUGUCUCUUAUGAGAUGAAGCCCUGGUAGGGUAGAAUACUCUAAUCAACCGCACAAUAUUUCUAAGCAGUAAGCUGCAAGAACUUUUCUCUGGCAGAGCUGGCCAAACACAGCCAAUUUCUGGGUCCCCAAAAAGAAUAUUUCUUCUCAGUUUAUUUUUCAAGGUCUCUAGUUAUUUCUAUCUCUUUUCAUGGUAGUUUUAGUCCCUUUUUUCUUUUAUUCCUAUUGUCGGUAAUUAAGUAUCGAUUCAAAACAUGAACUUGAUGUUUUAUCUAUCCAUUCAGUUUUUAUUUUGAUUCAUCAAAUGAUGAAACUGUAUUUGAGUUGUCACUACAUGUCUUCUUUUCCCAGCUACCUACUCGAUUGUUCUUGUGGGACGGACUACCUCGUAAUGCCAUGGGGAAGGUGAACAAGAAAGAGUUGAAAAAGGUGCUGGCAGCUGAACAAUAAAAUCUGGAGCAUUCCUUCUUGAAACAGGAAUUAAGGAAAUACCGAAAUUUGUUGCUGCUUCUGCUUAUCCUAUUCUCCUAUUUCUGGCUUGUGGGUAGAAACAGAUGUUGGAAUUAGGCUUCAUUUGAAUCGUAUAAUAGCAUGAAUAGGAUAGAAAUGGAAAAGUUUUUUCAUGUUGAAUAGUUAUUCUUAACUUCUAUUCAAAUUUAAUAAGGGGAACAAUCAUUUCAUAUUAUAGUUAUUCCACAACGUCAAUUUUUGUUAUUAAAUUUAUAAAUACAUAGUAGUUUUAAUAUAAAAUAGAUAUUUUGCAAAUUUAUAGAAUAAAUAAGUUUCAUAAGUAAUAGGGGCAUAGUUAUUU
RNAcentral lists this unclassified non-coding RNA (5623 nucleotides) under Hevea brasiliensis (rubber tree). Lineage: Eukaryota; Viridiplantae; Streptophyta; Magnoliopsida; Malpighiales; Euphorbiaceae. The record is from RNAcentral.